RNAcentral lists this ribosomal RNA (175 nucleotides) under uncultured Actinomycetes bacterium. RNAcentral describes it as "uncultured actinobacterium partial 16S ribosomal RNA". It matches the Rfam family "Bacterial small subunit ribosomal RNA", at positions 337 to 524 of the family's 1533-position model. Lineage: Bacteria; Bacillati; Actinomycetota; Actinomycetes. The record is from RNAcentral.
UCCUACGGGAGGCAGCAGUAGGGAAUAUUGGGCAAUGGGCGGAAGCCUGACCCAGCGACGCCGCGUGAGGGAUGAAGGUCUUCGGAUUGUAAACCUCUUUCAGUAGGGAAGAAGCGAAAGUGACGGUACCUAAAGAAGAAGCACCGGCUAACUAUGUGCCAGCAGCCGCGGUAAU